This is a long non-coding RNA of Alexandromys fortis (reed vole), 1680 nucleotides long. RefSeq lists it as uncharacterized. The record is from RefSeq and is a predicted model, not a curated record. The transcript is spliced from 2 exons. NCBI's taxonomy places the organism in Eukaryota, Metazoa, Chordata, Mammalia, Rodentia, Cricetidae.
CGCUGGCUGGCAGGGACCUUGAAACGCCAUAGAAUUGUGGCUAUAAACAUGGCUACAGCCUGUAUCUCCGCCAUGAGGCUGGAAAGCUAAGGAAUGGACUGGAUCUAGCUGGCAAAGCCACGGCUUUAAUCCUACUCAUAUUGCUCAGUAAUUUAAAGGCUCGUGUGGUCAGAAAAAGAGAGAUAUACAGUAAAGAGAUUCAAAGACAAAGAAAAUGUUUAAAUGAUUUACAGUGUGUUAAAAAUAUAUGCAAGCUAAAAGUUAAAAGUUCUUAAAAAAAAAAAAGUAAGAAAAAGAGAAGUUGUGUGUGGUAGCACACGCCUUUAAUCCCAGUGCCUAGAAGGCAGAGACAAACAGAUCUCUGUGAGUUCAAGGUGUGGUAGCAAACACCUUUAAUCCCAAUGCCUGGGAGGCAGAGACAGGCAGAUCUCUGAGAGUUCAAGGAGAGCCUGGUCUACAGAGUUAUUCCAGGUCAAAGAGAUACAGAGAAUAUAAAAGUAAAAAUAAACGAAAUAGAGGUUAAAAUAAAGCGUACAAAGAUGGAAAAUACACAGAGAAUCUUGAUACUGUAUACUAUUAUGCUCUCUUUGAAUUGUUUGAAUGCUGAGGAAGGAGCAACAGCUGCCAAAAGAUAUUUGUUUAUAAAUGCUGCUGAACUAAUCCAACGUAGAGAUUUUGAUGCCUUGACUUUGAAAUUUGGAUCUAAGGACAUGAUACUUUGGAAAGGAGUUUCUUUUUUUGUUUUCACAGAGGAUGAGACCCUGUUCAUUUCUUCUAUUCCGAUAUGGUAUGAUGGACCACGCCCUCCUGAACGGUUGCUGUGAAUACCUUCAGAAAAUUGCUUCGCUCAACUGCCAACUGAGAUGAAACUAGCACACAGGUUAUACCAUGAAAGACCUAAUUAACGACGCCCCCAUUCAGCAGGAAGCAGUUUGGAGAGAAAAAACUGCGCCCAUGUUCCCAAAUAUGGUUUAUAAAUGUUCUUUUACAUUUAAAGGGGGAUAUGAUAUAGAUAUGAAUAAUUUGCAUUAGUAUAGAUUUUGCUUUAUUGAUAGAGAUUUAAGGUCAAUUUUGAAUGUAUAUAGGUUGUUAAUGAAUAAUCAUUAAUAGUAGUUAAGCUUGUAGUUAUGUUAGUUAAGAUUUUCUAGAUGUGCAUAGAUAUAUUUUAGAUAGGCAUUCUUCAUAUCUUUCAAAGGCUAGAGAAUAUGGCAUUUUACAUGUUUUAAUAACUUAGGACUUUUCAUGACAAUGAGACACUCUGCUCCUGGCAGCACCAAUCUACUUCAAGAGGAAGAUGGGCAUCGAAGAGGAUCCUUAUGGAGUUUGAUAGCCAUUUGGGCAAGAAACUGCUCUUGCCUGGACUAUUGCAUAAACUGGACACAGAGAACCCGCAGAGAGAGGACUGCUGAACUUGCCUAAAGGUGAGAUGAUCUUUCGGGGUUCCUGAUUCAUGAAAGAGUCUGCAAGACAUUCUUCAGGACAAGCAGAUAGUGACUGCCUUUGAAAUUUCCUGCUUUGUGGAAAUGUCUGCUGGAAACUAUGGGCCUGUAGGCCGAAGAUGGAUGCCCCAACGGUACAGAGGAACUUUGGGUGACUGUCCAGGCAGCGAGAUGUCUCUGUCAUUUCUAGAGCUUUGGAUGUUAAGUUAAAGCCUUCUUUUUUUUUUUUUUUUUUUUUAAA